AUGUCCAUGCUCCGAAUCUUCGGUUUGGGGAACAACAAUCUUUUCGGCUCCCUCCCUGGCAACAAGAGCUUUAACCUCCCCAUGCUACAAAAACUAGGUCUUUCUUGGAAUCAUUUCACUGGCCCAAUCCAGCCGGCACUGGCCAGAUCCAACAAACUUGAGCUUCUUUCUAUCUCCAUUAAUAACUUCACUGGUCCUGUACCGGCGUGGUUGGCAACAAUGCCUCGGCUUUCUACUAUUCUACUGUCGGCAAAUAACCUCGUCGGUAAGAUCCCGGUUGAGCUAAGCAACCACACAGACCUUGUCAUGCUUGAUCUUAGUGUCAACCAGCUGGAAGGAGAAAUUCCACCUCAAAUAGGCUAUUUGAGAAACCUCAAUUACUUGAGCUUUUCGACAAACCUCCUAACAGGUAAAAUUCCUGAAUCCAUAGGCAAUAUAUCAAGCAUAAAAACUCUUGAUCUGACACUCAAUGCCUUCACUGGAUCAGUUCCAACCACGUUUGGGAAUGUUCGUAGUCUUACGGGCUUGUAUGUGGAUGGAAACAAGCUUAGCCGGAAGCUAAACUUUUUACAUGCACUCUCCAACUGCAAGAACCUGAGUACCCUUGGCAUAUCGUCCAAUUCGUUUGCAGGAAGCAUACCUGACUAUUUGGGAAACCUUACUUCACAACUCCAGUACUUCAUAGCAAGUUCUAACAGCUUAACGGGGAACAUUCCAGAUACAAUUGCAAAUCUUAGCAGCCUUACCACAAUUGAUCUCGACGGAAACCAACUGAGCGGGACCAUCCCUGUAUCCAUCACUACACUGAACAAUCUCCAAGAACUCAACCUUGCCAACAACACCUUGACCGGCGCCAUCCCAGAAGAAAUUUCCAGAUUAACACGCCUAGUACGAUUGUAUCUUGAUAAAAACCAGUUGUCUGGCUCGAUACCGAGCACUAUGGGUAAUCUAAGUGAGCUGCAGUACAUGACAUCUUCUCUUAACUCACUGUCUUCGACCAUACCCUUCAGUCUCUGGCGCCUCUCAAAGCUCAUCAGUCUUAAUCUGGCAUACAACAUGCUGACUGGUCCACUGCCGAGAGAUGUUAGCCAAGUAAAACAAAUUGCUCAAAUGGAUCUUUCAAGCAAUCUUAUGACCGGUGGCUUACCGGAUUCCUUGGGCAGGCUCCAGAUGCUCACCUAUCUGAACCUGUCAAACAAUUCAUUCGAGGAACAAAUCCCAAGCUCAUUUGGAGAGCUAGUCAGCAUAGAGACCAUGGACCUAUCAUACAAUUCCCUUCGGGGUACCAUACCAAAGUCACUGGCCAAUCUGACCUUCCUCACUAGCCUGAACCUCUCUUUCAAUAAACCAGAUGGUCCGAUACCGGAUAGAGGAAUUUUCUCAAACAUCACACUCCAGUCUUUGAGAGGAAACGAUGCUCUUUGGGGCCCCUCACGUCUAGGCAUUUCACCCUGCCAGAGCCAUCAUAAAUCACCGGAAUCGUUGAUAAAAAUUAUACUUCCUGUAGCCGGGGGAGUUGCAAUUUUGGCUACCUGCUUGUGCAUAUUAAUCAGAACAAAGAUCAAAAAGUGCAAAAGGACAUCAGUUCCCUCGGAGUCCAACAUAAUCAACUACCGGUUAAUAUCAUUCCACGAGCUUGUUCGUGCUACAGAAAACUUCAGUGAGGACAAUCUGCUUGGAUCUGGGAACUUUGGCAAAGUCUUCAAGGGACAACUGGAUGACGAAUCAAUUGUUGCAGUAAAGGUGCUCAGCAUGCAACAUGAAGGAGCCUCUGUGAGUUUUGAUGCAGAGUGUCGUGCUCUGCGCAUGGCCCGUCACCGGAACCUAGUGAAAAUACUUAGCACUUGCUCCAACUUUGAAUUCAAGGCCCUGGUGCUCCAGUACAUGCCAAAUGGGAGUUUGGAUAGUUGGCUGCACUCAAGCAACAGCCCUCAGGGUUUGGGGUUCCUCAAGAGGUUAGAAAUUAUGCUAGAUGUAGCGAUGGCGAUGGAGUACCUCCACCACCAGCACACCGAGGUUGUUCUUCAUUGUGAUCUGAAGCCUAGCAAUGUAUUGCUGGACGCAGACAUGACUGCGCACAUCGCUGACUUUGGCAUUGCCAAGUUGUUGUUGGGUGAUGAUAACUCCAUUGCGUUGACAAACAUGCCCGGAACAAUUGGCUACAUGGCACCAGCGUAUGGAUCAACUGGUAAAGCAUCACGCAUGAGCGAUGUGUUCAGCUAUGGGAUCAUGAUGCUGGAGGUCUUCACGGGGAAAAGACCCACUGGCCCGCUGUUCGGUGAGGAGCUCAGCUUGCGGCAAUGGGUUACUGAAGCAUUUCCAACCAGGCUUAUAGAUGUUGUCGACAACAAAGUUCUAUCACAAGGAAUCAAGAGUGAUUGCCAUGCUGGCGAUGAAAGCGCGUCGAGAGAGCAGUCUAUCAUUCUCAACACAUGCCUUGCAUCUGUAAUAGAGUUGAGUUUACAGUGCUCAUCAACGAUGCCUGAUGAAAGAACCGCCAUGGACAAGGUGGUAGUGAAGCUGAACAAGUGA
Molecule: ribosomal RNA, 2532 nt
Filed under: Triticum aestivum (bread wheat)
Lineage: Eukaryota; Viridiplantae; Streptophyta; Magnoliopsida; Poales; Poaceae
Description: partial small subunit ribosomal RNA
Source: RNAcentral